Molecule: ribosomal RNA, 338 nt
Filed under: uncultured Eubacteriales bacterium
Lineage: Bacteria; Bacillati; Bacillota; Clostridia; Eubacteriales
Description: bacterial SSU rRNA
Rfam family: Bacterial small subunit ribosomal RNA
Source: RNAcentral
CAUGGUUGUCGUUCAGCUCGUGUCGUGUAGAUGUUGGUUAAGUCCCGCAACGAGCGCAACCCUUGUCUUUAGUUGCCAUCAUUAAGUUGGGCACUCUAAAGAGACUGCCGAUGACAAAUCGGAGGAAGGUGGGGAUGACGUCAAAUCAUCAUGCCCUUUAUGUCCUGGGCUACACACGUGCUACAAUGGUCGGUACAACGAGAAGCAAGUCAGCGAUGGCAAGCAAAUCUCUAAAAGCCGAUCCCAGUUCGGAUUGCAGGCUGCAACUCGCCUGCAUGAAGUCGGAGUUGCUAGUAAUCGCGGAUCAGAAUGCCGCGGUGAAUGCGUUCCCGGGGCUU